UACGGAGGGUGCAAGCGUUAUCCGGAUUCACUGGGUUUAAAGGGUGCGUAGGUGGGCUGGUAAGUCAGUGGUGAAAUCUCCAGGCUUAACUUGGAAACUGCCAUUGAUACUAUCAGUCUUGAAUACCGUGGAGGUCAGCGGAAUAUGUCAUGUAGCGGUGAAAUGCUUAGAUAUGACAUAGAACGCCAAUUGCGAAGGCAGCUGGCUACACGAAUAUUGACACUGAUGCACGAAAGCGUGGGGAUCAAACAGG
RNAcentral lists this ribosomal RNA (253 nucleotides) under uncultured bacterium. RNAcentral's name for it is "partial 16S ribosomal RNA". It matches the Rfam family "Bacterial small subunit ribosomal RNA", at positions 524 to 776 of the family's 1533-position model. The record is from RNAcentral.